RNAcentral lists this ribosomal RNA (607 nucleotides) under Trachymyrmex papulatus symbiont DA373. Its description in RNAcentral is "eukaryotic LSU rRNA". It matches the Rfam family "Eukaryotic large subunit ribosomal RNA", at positions 52 to 642 of the family's 3401-position model. The record is from RNAcentral. Lineage: Eukaryota; Fungi; Basidiomycota; Agaricomycetes; Agaricales; Agaricaceae.
GGAGGAAAAGAACUAACAAGGAUUCCCCUAGUAACUGCGAGUGAAGCGGGAAAAGCUCAAAUUUAAAAUCUGGCAGUCUCUGGCUGUCCGAGUUGUAAUCUAGAGAAGUGCUGCCCGCGCUGGACCGUGUACAAGUCUCCUGGGAUGGAGCGUCAUAGAGGGUGAGAAUCCCGUCUCUGACACGGACUACCAGGGCUUUGUGGUACGCUCUCAAAGAGUCGAGUUGUUUGGGAAUGCAGCUCAAAAUGGGUGGUAAAUUCCAUCUAAAGCUAAAUAUUGGCGAGAGACCGAUAGCGAACAAGUACCGUGAGGGAAAGAUGAAAAGAACUUUGGAAAGAGAGUUAAACAGUACGUGAAAUUGCUGAAAGGGAAACGCUUGAAGUCAGUCACGUUGGCUGGGGAUCAGCCUCGCUCUUUUGCGUGGUGUACUUCCUGGUUGACGGGUCAGCAUCAAUUUUGACCGCUGGAAAAAGGCUUGAGGAAUGUGGCAGCUCCGGCUGUGUUAUAGCUUCUUGUCACAUACAGCGGUUGGGAUUGAGGAACUCAGCACGCCGCAAGGCCGGGUUUYGACCACGUUCGUGCUUAGGAUGCUGGCAUAAUGGCUUUA